Mauremys mutica (yellowpond turtle) is the source of this 567-nucleotide long non-coding RNA. RefSeq lists it as uncharacterized. NCBI's taxonomy places the organism in Eukaryota, Metazoa, Chordata, Testudines, Geoemydidae. The record is from RefSeq and is a predicted model, not a curated record. The transcript is spliced from 4 exons.
AAGCCAGAAAAUAUGACCAUUAACUGUCACAUGGGACUUUGCCAAGGUACUUAUUUAGAGUGGUAGAUGAACAGAGAAAAGAAAGGAGGAGAGGGAGGGACAGCGGACAGCAUUUCAGGUGGAUUAGCCAACAACGCACCAGGGACCAAGCAAAGAGCAAGAAAGUCACAGGAAGCAGCAUUGCUGAUAAACUGGUGGGGUUCAGCAAGUGUAUUGAUUUCAGACAUACAGAUUACUGGAGAAGGAAUGACUCAAAGGCUAUCAUGUCAUAUGCUUCUCAACGGGACAACAACAUGUCACAUUGUGAACCUGGAGAAAAGAAGAACAGCUCUUAUCUGAGUCCCGCCUACUGUGGAGAAGGUGCUGGCUGACAGGAGAUAGGAGCAGGCUCGCCUGAGAGACCCUUCCUGGCUCUGGAUUCACUUAGAGGAGGUUCAGGAGUCUCCACCAUAAACUGCUAGACACUUCAUCAAUGAAGACCACCAUUCCAGUCAGUGGCAGAUUAGCAACAGGGCCCUAAUCCUGCAAUUAGAGCCUUACCUUUAUUGUUACAACUAUACUAGUAUA